GACGAACGCUGGCGGCGUGCUUAACACAUGCAAGUCGAGCGGAAAGGCCCUUUCGGGGGUACUCGAGCGGCGAACGGGUGAGUAACACGUGAGUAAUCUGCCCUUGGCUUUGGGAUAACUACCGGAAACGGUGGCUAAUACCGGAUACGACCACUCCUUGCAUGAGGUGGUGGUGGAAAGUUUUUUCGGCCAGGGAUGUGCUCGCGGCCUAUCAGCUUGUUGGUGGGGUAAUGGCCUACCAAGGCUUCGACGGGUAGCCGGCCUGAGAGGGUGACCGGCCACACUGGGACUGAGACACGGCCCAGACUCCUACGGGAGGCAGCAGUGGGAAUAUUGGACAAUGGGCGGAAGCCUGAUCCAGCAACGCCGCGUGAGGGAUGACGGCC
This 386-nucleotide ribosomal RNA is filed under the name uncultured bacterium. Its description in RNAcentral is "bacterial SSU rRNA". It matches the Rfam family "Bacterial small subunit ribosomal RNA", at positions 28 to 416 of the family's 1533-position model. The record is from RNAcentral.